GUGGUAGAGGAGCGUUCUGUAAACUGUUGAAGGUGAGGCGGGAGCCGAGCUGGAGGUAACAGAAGUGCGAAUGCUGACGUAAGUAACGAUAAAACGAGUGAAAAACUCGUUCGCCGAAAGACCAAGGGUUCCUGUCCAACGUUAAUCGGGGCAGGGUGAGUCGGUACCUAAGGCGAGGCUGAAAAGCGUAGUCGAUGGAAAACAGGUUAAUAUUCCUGUACCUUAUUAAGUGCGAUGAGAUGACGGAGAAGGGAAAGUCAGCCAGUUAUUGGAUUCUGGUGAAAGGUUGUAGGGAGUUACCUGGGUUAAAAGACAGGUAGCGUUGAACUGAGAACCGAUGCGAAGUGAACAAUCACGAAGUGGCUCGUGCCCAGGCUUCCAGGAAAAGUCUCUAAGCUUCAGCUUAAUUAAGGCCGUACCCCAAACCGACACAGGUGGUCGGGUUGAAGAUACCAAGGCGCUUGGGAGAACUCAGGUGAAGGAACUAGGCAAAAUUGUACCGUAACUUCGGGAUAAGGUACGCUGCUCCAGGUGAAAAGCCUGCGCUUAGAGCUAGGAGCAGCCGCAGUGAAAUGGUGGCUGGGACUGUUUAACAAAAACACAGCACUCUGCAAACCUGAAAGGGGAAGUAUAGGGUGUGACACCUGCCCGGUGCUGGAAGGUUAAAUGAUGGGGUUAGGCGCAAGCUGAAGCUCCUGAGUGAAGCCCCAGUAAACGGCGGCCGUAACUAUAACGGUCCUAAGGUAGCGAAAUUCCUUGUCAGGUAAGUUCUGACCUGCACGAAUGGUGUAACCAUGGCCACGCUGUCUCCACCUGAGACCCAGUGAAAUCGAAAUCGCUGUGAAGAUGCAGUGUACCCGCGGCUAGACGGAAAGACCCCGUGAACCUUUACUGCAGCUUGACACUGAACUUUGAACAUGUUUGUGCAGGAUAGGCGGGAGACAUCGAAGCAAGAGCGCCAGCUCAUGUGGAGUCGUCCUUGAAAUACCGCCCUGACCUGUUUGAAGUUCUAACUCGACAAAGACCUUGAAGAGGACAGUGUCUGGUGGGCAGUUUGACUGGGGCGGUCUCCUCCUAAAGGGUAACGGAGGAGCACGAAGGUCAGCUGAUUACGGUCGGACAUCGUAAGGUCAGUGCAAUGGCAUAAGCUGGCUUGACUGCGAGAGCAACAACUCGAGCAGGUGCGAAAGCAGGUCAUAGUGAUCCGGUGGUUCUGUAUGGAAAGGCCAUCGCUCAACGGAUAAAAGGUACUCUGGGGAUAACAGGCUGAUACCGCCCA
This 1279-nucleotide ribosomal RNA is filed under the name human gut metagenome. RNAcentral describes it as "bacterial LSU rRNA". It matches the Rfam family "Bacterial large subunit ribosomal RNA", at positions 1225 to 2494 of the family's 2925-position model. The record is from RNAcentral.